This 1925-nucleotide ribosomal RNA is filed under the name human gut metagenome. RNAcentral describes it as "bacterial LSU rRNA". It matches the Rfam family "Bacterial large subunit ribosomal RNA", at positions 514 to 2447 of the family's 2925-position model. The record is from RNAcentral.
GUGAAAAGCACUUCGAACAGAAGAGUGAAAUAGUCCCUGAACCCAUACGCCUACAAGCAGUCGGAGCCGCUUCGUGCGGUGACGGCGUGCCUUUUGCAUAAUGAGCCUACGAGUUACUCAUCACCAGCGAGGUUAAGUACUUCAGGUACGUAAGCCGAAGCGAAAGCGAGUCUGAAUAGGGCGUCAAGUUGGUGGUGGUAGACGCGAAACCUUAGUGAUCUACCCAUGGGCAGGGUGAAGGUUUGGUAACACAAACUGGAGGCCCGAACCGGUAAACGUUGAAAAGUUUUCGGAUGACCUGUGGGUAGGGGUGAAAGGCCAAUCAAACUGGGAAAUAGCUCGUACUCUCCGAAAUGCAUUUAGGUGCAGCCUCUGUUGUUUUGUUCUAGAGGUAGAGCUACUGAUUGGAUGCGAGGGCUUCACCGCCUAUCAAAUCCGGCCAAACUCCGAAUGCUAGAACAUGAAGACAGGGAGUGAGCCAGCGGGUGCUAAGGUCCGUUGACGAAAGAGGGAGAACUCAGACCAUCAGCUAAGGUCCCCAAUUAUAUGCUAAGUUGGAAUAAAAACGGGGUGGGACUGCUUAGACAGCUAGGAUGUUGGCUUGGAAGCAGCCAUUCAUUUAAAGAGUGCGUAACAGCUCACUAGUCGAGCGGUCCUGCAUGGAUAAUACGCGGGCAUAAGCAUAUAACCGAAGCUAUGGGAUUGUAGAUGAUACAAUCGGUAGGAGAGCAUUCCAUUCAGCAUAGAAGCAGUAUCGUGAGGUAUUGUGGAGCGGAUGGAAAAGCAAAUGUAGGCAUAAGUAACGAUAAUGCGGGUGAGAACCCCGCACGCCGAAAGAUCAAGGAUUCCCCGGCAAUGUCAAUCAUCCGGGGGUAAGUCGGAUCCUAAGGGUAAGCCGAGUGGCGAUCCCGAUGGCAAACAGGUUAAUAUUCCUGUACUGAUCAUAACUGCGAUGCAGCGACGCAGAGGUGACACUGCUGCGUACUGACGGAAUAGUACGUUGAAACCCGUAUUCUUUGAUACCGGUAGUGAAGCACGCCGGUAGAGAUGAAAGGUGAUAGUACCGCAAUGCUUCGGUUGCGCGGAUAAUGCAGGUAAGCUGACUGCCAAGAAAACCUGCUAAGCUUCAGGUAAUGAUCAUCCGUACUGUAAACGGACACACGUGAUCAGGUAGAAAAUACUAAGGCGCUCGAGAGAUUCAUGGUUAAGGAACUAGGCAAAAUGGUCCUGUAACUUCGGGAUAAAGGACGCUCUUGUGAAAGAGCCGCAGAUAAUAGGCCCAGGCGACUGUUUACCAAAAACACAUGGCUAUGCUAAUUCGCAAGAAGAUGUAUAUGGCCUGACACCUGCCCGGUGCCGGAAGGUUAAGAGGAGAGCUCAGAGGUAACUCGAAGGUUUGAAUUGAAGCCCCGGUAAACGGCGGCCGUAACUAUAACGGUCCUAAGGUAGCGAAAUUCCUUGUCGGGUAAGUUCCGACCUGCACGAAUGGUGUAACGAUCUGGGUACUGUCUCAACCAUGAGCUCGGUGAAAUUGUAGUUCCGGUGAAGAUGCCGGAUACCCGCAACGGGACGGAAAGACCCCGUGAACCUUUACUGCAGCUUUGCAUUGAUUUUGGGUAACAGAUGUGUAGGAUAGGUCGGAGGCUUUGAUGCUGCGUCGUCAGGCGUAGAGUAGCCGUCGUUGAAAUACGACCCUUUUGUUAUCUGAGGUCUAAUCCCGUUAGGGAGACAUUGCAUGGUGGGUAGUUUGACUGGGGUGGUCGCCUCCAAAAGUGUAACGGAGGCUUCUCAAGGUACCCUCAAGGCGUUUGGUAAUCGUCUGCAGAGUGCAAUGGCAUAAGGGUGCUUGACUGUGAGACCGACACGUCGAUCAGGUUGGAAACAAGAGCAUAGUGAUCCGGUGGUUCCGCAUGGAAGGGCCAUCG